AACGAACGCUGGCGGCAUGCUUAACACAUGCAAGUCGAACGGAUUUAUAGCGCAAGUUAUGAAUCAGUGGCAGACGGGUGAGUAACGCGUGGGAACGUACCUUUUGGUUUGGAAUAACUAUGGGUAACUAUAGCUAAUACCGAAUACGCCCUAAGGGGGAAGGAUUUAUUGCCGAGAGAGCGGCCCGCGUUAGAUUAGGUAGUUGGUGGGGUAAAGGCCUACCAAGCCGAUGAUCUAUAGCUGGUCGGAGAGGAUGAUCAGCCACACUGGGACUGAGACACGGCCCGUACUCCUACGGGAGGCAGCAGUGGGGAAUAUUGGACAAUGGUGGCAACCCUGAUCCAGCAAUGCCGCGUGAGUGAAGAAGGCCUUCGGUUUGUAAAGCUCUUUUAUCAGGGACGAUGAUGACGGUACCUGAGGAAUAAGCUCCGGCUAACUUCGUGCCAGCAGCCGCAGUAA
This 459-nucleotide ribosomal RNA is filed under the name uncultured bacterium. Its description in RNAcentral is "partial 16S ribosomal RNA". It matches the Rfam family "Bacterial small subunit ribosomal RNA", at positions 29 to 523 of the family's 1533-position model. The record is from RNAcentral.